UACGUAGGGGCCGAGCGUUGUCCGGAUUUAUUGGGCGUAAAGCGCUCGCAGGUGGUUCGUUGCGUCGUGCGUGAAAGACCCCGGCUCAACUGGGGGAUGUCGUGCGAUACGGGCGGACUGGAGGCCAGUAGGGGGAUGCGGAAUUCCGGGUGUAGUGGUGGAAUGCGUAGAGAUCCGGAGGAACACCAGCGGCGAAGGCGGCGUCCUGGACUGGUCCUGACACUCAGGAGCGAAAGCGUGGGGAGCGAUCCGG
This 253-nucleotide ribosomal RNA is filed under the name uncultured bacterium. RNAcentral describes it as "partial 16S ribosomal RNA". It matches the Rfam family "Bacterial small subunit ribosomal RNA", at positions 524 to 776 of the family's 1533-position model. The record is from RNAcentral.